UUCGAGAACAUCGGCAGCUGACGC
This 24-nucleotide microRNA is filed under the name Rhipicephalus microplus (southern cattle tick). Its description in RNAcentral is "rmi-miR-5324". The record is from miRBase by way of RNAcentral. Lineage: Eukaryota; Metazoa; Arthropoda; Arachnida; Ixodida; Ixodidae.